This is a long non-coding RNA of Octopus sinensis (East Asian common octopus), 111 nucleotides long. RefSeq lists it as uncharacterized. The transcript has 5 exons. The record is from RefSeq and is a predicted model, not a curated record. NCBI's taxonomy places the organism in Eukaryota, Metazoa, Mollusca, Cephalopoda, Octopoda, Octopodidae.
CAAAUAACUGUUAUAAGAUCCCAAUCCCAGGCUGAUGAGAUUGGUGAUGGAACAACUGGUGUUGUUGUAUUGGCUGGUGCUUUGUUGGAACAAGCUGAGAAAUUGCUAGAC